UAAUCUCAUUUGGUAACUGUGAGUCUUCUUGACAUCGCGAACUGUCAAGCUGACGGUGACAGUUCAGCCACUUGUUAGUUUUGACAGUCGGUCGCGUUCAACUCAGAUUACCAUAUGGGGUUUGA
This 125-nucleotide microRNA precursor is filed under the name Heliconius melpomene (postman butterfly). RNAcentral's name for it is "Hme-Mir-216-P2_pre stem-loop". Lineage: Eukaryota; Metazoa; Arthropoda; Insecta; Lepidoptera; Nymphalidae. The record is from RNAcentral.